RNAcentral lists this ribosomal RNA (2022 nucleotides) under Triticum aestivum (bread wheat). Its description in RNAcentral is "partial small subunit ribosomal RNA". Lineage: Eukaryota; Viridiplantae; Streptophyta; Magnoliopsida; Poales; Poaceae. The record is from RNAcentral.
AUGACAGAAAUGCGACUAUUCACCAAUCAGCUCUCUGGCCCUUUGCCUUUGACACUCUCCAACCUUACCAAUUUGGUCCUGGUUUUGCUGGCUGACAACCAGCUGACAGGACACUUGCCAGAUUUGUGCCAAAGUAAAAAGCUACAAGAUUUCCAAAUUUUUGAUAACAAUCUGGAUGGUCCUGUCCCAAAAGGUUUGAGGGAUUGCAGUUCACUAAUAUCCCUUGGAAUUGACAAAAAUCAGAUCGAGGGAGACAUAACUAAAUCAUUUGGGGUGUAUCCGCAUCUCAAUGACAUUAGUUUAUCUUCAAACAAAUUUGUAGGGCGGCUCUCGCCAAAAUGGGGCUUGUGUCAAAACUUGACAAGUAUUGAUUUUGGACACAACAUGAUAGAAGGCAGUAUACCAUCUGAUCUUGGGGAGCUAAAAAAUCUUGCAAUUCUCGAUAUGCGUUUCAAUAGGUUGACUAGUGAAAUACCACCGGAAAUUGGCAAGUUAAGCAGCCUCUAUUGGAUGGAUUUAGGAAGCAAUCGACUAUCUGGCCAGAUCCCUAAGCAAAUCGGCCAACUUAGUAAUCUUGAGAUUCUUGAUUUCUCAAGCAACCUGUUAAGUGGUAAAAUACCAGAAGAGAUCGGUAAUUGUUUGAAACUGCAGUCAUUACAUAUGAAUAACAACAGCCUUAGUGAAAGUCUUCCUGGUAGUUUGGGCCAUUUAGCUUCCCUUCAAAGCAUGCUUGAUCUUAGUAUGAAUAGUCUCAGUGGACCGAUACCAUCGGAACUCAGCAAACUUGAGAUGCUGAUGUUUGUGAACUUCUCACACAAUCAAUUCAGUGGUGGCAUCCCCAUCUCCAUCGCAAGCAUGCAAAGCAUAACAGUAUUUGAUGUAUCAUACAACUUCCUAGAAGGCUCUGUCCCAAAUGGUAUUCACAAUGCAUCAGCUGAAUGGUUUCUCCACAACAAAGGCCUCUGUGGAAACCUUGUUGGCCUGUCUCCUUGUGAUUUGCAACUUGCAGAUCAUAGGCGGAAACAUCAAAAGAUUAUACUACCAGUGGGUCUUCCUAUGCUUGUCGCUACUAUUUCAAUAGUAGCAGGUGUAGUUGCCCUUUUGAUCUGUCGCAAGAAAGCAUCUAAAAGUACUGAUGAUGUGAGCAAAGGGGGUGUUUUCUCUGUAUGGAGCUUUGAUGGCAGAAUGGCAUUUGAGGACAUUAUGAAUGCAACUGAAAAUUUUGAUGAGAAGCACUGCAUUGGAGAAGGAUCAUACGGUAGUGUUUAUAAGGCAGAACUUCAAGAUGAACAAGUGGUUGCUGUAAAGAAACUCCAUGCAGGCGAUGAGGAGGCACAUGAUGAAGAAAUAUUCCAGCAUGAGAUUGAAAUGUUAACAAAAGUUCGCCAACGCAGCAUCGUCAAGUUGUAUGGCUAUUGUUCUCAUCCACGGUACAGGUUCCUUGUAUGCCAAUUCAUAGAGAGAGGAAAUCUAGCUUCUAUCUUAAGCAAUGAAGAACUAGCAUCCCAGUUCCGCUGGGAAAGGAGGAUAGCUCUAAUAAGAGAUGUGGCUCAAGCCAUCACUUACCUCCAUCAUGAUGUUCACCCACCCAUAAUUCAUAGGGACAUCACAAGCAGAAACAUCUUAUUAGAUGUUGACUACAAAGCAUUUGUCUCGGAUUUUGGUAUUGCAAGAAUGUUAAAACCCGAUUCAUCGAAUUGGAGCGCACUAGCGGGGACCUAUGGCUACAUUGCACCUGAAUGUUCAUACACUUCUCUAGUCACGGAGAAAUGUGAUGUAUAUAGCUUUGGUAUUGUGGUGCUUGAGGUGUUGAUGGGCAAACACCCUGGAGAUUUGCAGGCUUUUCAUUCUUCACUCGAGGACCAGUUUCUACUGGAAGAAAUUUUGGACGAACGACUUCCACAACCCGAAGCUGGGGAGGAAGAAGUGAGACGGUGCAUCUCUGUGGCAUUUGAGUGCCUAACUCCUUCACCCAAAGAAAGGCCAACUAUGCUGAAAGUUUAUCGAGAUCUUUCCAUCUGA